GCCCCUGUGGCACAGCAGGAAAGCGCACCGGAUUGCGAAUCCGGAGGUCGGGAGUUCAAGUCUCCCCGGGGGCA
This 74-nucleotide transfer RNA is filed under the name Actinoplanes sp. TBRC 11911. It matches the Rfam family "tRNA". From Rfam's summary of the family: Transfer RNA (tRNA) molecules are approximately 80 nucleotides in length. Their secondary structure includes four short double-helical elements and three loops (D, anti-codon, and T loops). Lineage: Bacteria; Bacillati; Actinomycetota; Actinomycetes; Micromonosporales; Micromonosporaceae. The record is from Rfam by way of RNAcentral.